CCUACGGGCGGCAGCAGUGAGGAAUAUUGGUCAAUGGGCGCGAGCCUGAACCAGCCAAGUAGCGUGAAGGAUGACUGCCCUACGGGUUGUAAACUUCUUUUAUAAAGGAAUAAAGUGAGGCACGUGUGCCUUUUUGUAUGUACUUUAUGAAUAAGGAUCGGCUAACUCCGUGCCAGCAGCCGCGGUAAUACGGAGGAUGCGAGCGUUAUCCGGAUUUAUUGGGUUUAAAGGGAGCGUAGAUGGGUUGUUAAGUCAGUUGUGAAAGUUUGCGGCUCAACCGUAAAAUUGCCAUUGAUACUGGCAGACUUGAGUACAGUUGAGGUAGGCGGAAUUCGUGGUGUAGCGGUGAAAUGCAUAGAUAUCACGAAGAACUCCGAUUGCGAAGGCAGCUUACUAAGCUGCAACUGACAUUGAUGCACGAAAGUGUGGGUAUCAAACAGGAUUAGAUACCCCUGUAGUC
RNAcentral lists this ribosomal RNA (460 nucleotides) under uncultured bacterium. Its description in RNAcentral is "partial 16S ribosomal RNA". It matches the Rfam family "Bacterial small subunit ribosomal RNA", at positions 338 to 795 of the family's 1533-position model. The record is from RNAcentral.